GACAGACAUACAAACAAUCGACAGAGGCAGCGAAAAACAGACUGCAAAACGAACUAACUUGUAAAAUUGAAGAUAGCUAGCUAUAUUGAUGCAGACUUGGUUCACUGACCUUUAAAUCCAUGGAUCUUGCUACGUCACCGGUUAACGGAGCACUUGACGGCAAUGCUAACGGAAGUAUGAAAGUGGUGGACUACUAUAAUUUUAGGUAUGAAAGUGAAACGAAAAAUAAGUAUAACCAAAGUGCCAUUUUUGAGAAAUUUAAGGUAGUAAGAUGAAAAUUAUUUUAUUUUUCAAAUUACGUUUUCCAGUUUGGGGAGAAAGGAAAAUGAAAGAAGGAAAGCAAAGCAUUUUAAUGGAUACCCAAAACCCCACUUUUGAUAAACCCUAGAGAGAGAAGGAAGGAACCAUGAGACGAACUCUGCUGAGCAAUCUCUCUCUCUACACUCGCAAUCGCCUUCUCUCUCCUCAAACAUUCAACCCAAAUCCUACCCCCUCACACGUCCCACUCGCCCGUUCGACUCAGUCCCUGCUCAGCCGGUUCUUCUCCUCGGAGGGCGACUCCUCCGCCGAAAGCCCCAAUCCGGCUGCUGAUUCGAGCUUGAUCCCAACCAAAAAGAAAGAUGCUUCCGUCGAAGUUAAGGACGUCAAUAACAAAGAGCUGAAGGAGCGGAUAGAUAAAUAUUUUAAGGGUGACGAGGAGGCGCUUCCGGCCAUACUCGAAGCGAUUCUGCAGAGGAGAUUGGCUGGGAAGCAUGAGGAAACGGAUGAUGAGCUGAUGGAUGAAUUGCAAAUGCAGCCGUUGGAUGAUGUUAAGGACCAAGAGUUUGAAUCGGAUUUUGAGGAAUUGCAUGACACGGAUGAAGAGAUUGAUGACUUGUAUAACGCAAAGGAUAUAGUCAUGAAGAGGAUGUCAAACGAUGAGUACUUCAACAUGGAUCCCAAGAAGUGGGAUGAUAUUGUUGAGGAUGCAAUUAAGCACGGGAUCAUGAAAAAUACGAAGGAGUGUGAGGAGAUUCUCGAGGAUAUGCUUAGCUGGGAUAAGCUCCUACCAGAUGACAUGAAAAGGAAGGUAGAAGAGAAGUUCAAUGACUUAGGGGAUAAGUGUGAAAGAGGGGAGCUUCAACCUGAAGAAGCUUAUGAGUUGUUCAAGGAGUUUGAGGAUGAGAUUGUCAUGGACUAUUUGCAGAAGAUGGAAGCCAACGGCCCCCCACAAUUUGAUGAGGCUGAUGUGUAUGACAAGAAGGAUCUAGCUGACCCACCAGGCGAAGGGCCAAUCCUUAGGUGGCAGACACGGGUAGUCUUUGCUCCUGGUGGUGAUUCCUGGCAUCCCAAGAAUAGAAAAGUGAAACUGUCUGUUACAGUGAAAGAACUCGGGCUUUCAAAGCAUCAAUUCCGUCGGCUCAGAGACUUGGUUGGAAAGCGGUACCAUCCAGGGAAAGAUGAGCUUACAAUUACUAGUGAGAGAUUUGAACACCGAGAAGAAAAUAGAAAGGACUGCCUCAGGACACUUCUUUCCCUCAUUGAGGAAGCUGGGAAAGCAAACAAACUGGCUGAGGAUGCUCGACUUUCGUAUGUCAAGAAGAGAUUAAGAGCAAAUCCUGCAUUCAUGGAGAGGCUGCAGAACAAGACCAUGAAAUUGCAAGGAAAGAGCGCAGUACCUGCUUGAGAUCUUGAUUUCCAGCAGCUCAUAUAAGUUUCUUGGUCUGGGAUGACAUUUUCUUGACGUUCAGUGUUUUGAUUGGUUGACCCCCGCUCUAAGAUUAUUAUUUUGCUAUAGAGUCUAUACUCCCAAAUGGAUAUUUGGUGCACGGAUCGGUACAUUUUGCUAGUUACUAAUGUUGGAAGCCAAUUGCUUUGCCUUCAAGUCCUUGAAAUGUUCACAUGGAUGUAUAACUUGUUAAGGACAACAGAUUAUCCUCGAUUUGGAAUCGGAUUCUUUCAGAGCGAACGGUUUCUGCAUCGAUGCAUAACGAUAGGUUUGAGAUAAGAUUCUGCUACUUUAUGAACAACAAUAUCCAUCGUUAAAACUCGAAAAAGUUUAAGGGAACCUGAUCCAUCAUAGGGUUGAGAAGGUUUCUGUCUUUCUUUUUCCACCCUUCCCUCCCCGUCCUGCAACGGCGCGCAGUUCCCCCUUUUGCUUUGCCUUUCGAUAUUCCAAGGCAGUUGGUCCUUGACGAAUCAAGCACCCCGUAAGGCGUCCGGAGUAUAUUUCAAGUGCUCUGCUGAGAUGAUAAAAAGUGAAAAGCUUGCACAGAAAGUAAAACAGAAAGGAGGAAAAAGGAAGAAAAAGAAGACACUGAACAGCAACUUGAUAGAACCUUACAUAAGGAGUAACAGAGCAAAAAGAAAGCUACGUUAAACGAAUCCUUCGAUGUCAAACGACGCAAGAUGAACACUGCAAGGCCUUCGGAUUCUCAAUCUGUUUCUAGUUACACUUCUUCUCAUGGACGAAAGGCGAAAUGGAGCGAAAAAGCCACGCAGUUUCUCUGCAAUGCCUGUUUACUGUGCAUUUGUUGCCCUUUAACCGUUGUCUGGUGUUGCAUCAAGGUACCGUGCAAGGUUGGAUCGCACGCGGCGCAGCACGUAAGGCGCUGCGCUUGUGGAUCAGCUGGGAAGAGAGUGUACGCAUCUUACUCUUCGUUUUCGGACAUUGAUUUGGAUAGUCUGCCCGGUAAGGCACAUAGUGGAACUACAUGCUCUAAAACUCGUGGCAACUCAAAAAGUCGGCACUGUAGCAUACAAAACGUUGAUUAAAGUUUUAAAAUUUGUUUAGCUUUAUAUUAAAACAUUUAAAUGCAGUUGUUUGCCUUAGGUCUUAUUGUAUCAGUAAUUUAAAGUUAUAUUA
Malus domestica (apple) is the source of this 2845-nucleotide non-coding RNA. NCBI's taxonomy places the organism in Eukaryota, Viridiplantae, Streptophyta, Magnoliopsida, Rosales, Rosaceae. The record is from RefSeq and is a predicted model, not a curated record.